GACGAACGCUGGCGGCGUGCUUAACACAUGCAAGUCGAACGGAGAGGCCCUGCUUUUGUGGGGUGCUCGAGUGGCGAACGGGUGAGUAACACGUGAGUAACCUGCCCUUGACUUUGGGAUAACUUCAGGAAACUGGGGCUAAUACCGGAUAGGAGCUCCUGCUGCAUGGUGGGGGUUGGAAAGUUUCGGCGGUUGGGGAUGGACUCGCGGCUUAUCAGCUUGUUGGUGGGGUAGUGGCUUACCAAGGCUUUGACGGGUAGCCGGCCUGAGAGGGUGACCGGCCACAUUGGGACUGAGAUACGGCCCAGACUCCUACGGGAGGCAGCAGUGGGGAAUAUUGCACAAUGGGCGGAAGCCUGAUGCAGCAACGCCGCGUGCGGGAUGACGGCCUUCGGGUUAUAAACCGCUUUCGCCUGUGACGAAGCGUGAGUGACGGUAAUGGGUAAAGAAGCACCGGCUAACUACGUG
RNAcentral lists this ribosomal RNA (468 nucleotides) under uncultured bacterium. RNAcentral's name for it is "partial 16S ribosomal RNA". It matches the Rfam family "Bacterial small subunit ribosomal RNA", at positions 28 to 507 of the family's 1533-position model. The record is from RNAcentral.